RNAcentral lists this long non-coding RNA (246 nucleotides) under Aquilegia coerulea. Its description in RNAcentral is "long non-coding RNA (ACOE_LNC000108)". Lineage: Eukaryota; Viridiplantae; Streptophyta; Magnoliopsida; Ranunculales; Ranunculaceae. The record is from RNAcentral.
AACCGAAACCGAACUGUGGAGUACGGUUUCAAAGUUUUUGGAACCGAAACCGAACCGGUCAACCUUAGGAACCGGUCAGAAACUGAACCGUUUAUUACAGUUCGGUUCGGUUUGUUUUUACGGUUUGGGCUUUUUAAAUUUUGGGCCUGCAACCUUAAUAUUGUGUGGGCUUUCAGAAUUUAUUUAACAUUAAAUCCAAGAGUCCACUGGGCUAAUCAUAUUAACAUAUCUUAACCAUUACAAAAU